RNAcentral lists this non-coding RNA (192 nucleotides) under Clostridiales bacterium. RNAcentral describes it as "6S RNA". It matches the Rfam family "6S / SsrS RNA". Rfam says of the family: E. coli 6S RNA was the first non coding RNA to be sequenced, but its function was unknown until recently. It consists of 184 nucleotides that fold into an extended hairpin structure with a large single-stranded internal bulge. Lineage: Bacteria; Bacillati; Bacillota; Clostridia; Eubacteriales. The record is from RNAcentral.
AUUAACCUGAAAUGUUCGAUAACUCUUGUUAUUUUGAACCUACAGAUACUUUAAACGGGAUUCCUAAAUUGCCUUAUGGCUGUCAAGCCCCCACUCGUAAGAGGAUUGGAGGGGAAGGCAAAAGUAAGGUUGCGGUCACCCACCUAGCUUUGCUAGGAGUCAAAGUACAAGAACCGGCAUUUUGGGGCUAGA